Molecule: long non-coding RNA, 1171 nt
Organism: Trichosurus vulpecula (common brushtail)
Lineage: Eukaryota; Metazoa; Chordata; Mammalia; Diprotodontia; Phalangeridae
Exons: 4
Source: RefSeq, a predicted model, not a curated record
CUCUCAAGCUUUGCUUCCUGUUUUCCCACAGCACCCUUUAGCUGUGGUUGUGAUAGCAACUAUUUGCCAGCUUGAACUGGUUCUUUGGCUUCUGCUGUAAGUUUUGUGCUGGCCACACCUCUGGUCUUUCACAUUGGCAUUUGAAGGUUGGUUGCAUGGACCGAUUAUGCUGGUAAUUCAUUUACUACCUACCCAGCAGCACAGUGCUGCCAAAAAGAUUGCAAACUGGAACACACAGAAGCCAGGCAACAAUGGAAAAGAACAGUACCACAACUAAGCUUGUGCUUUGCUUCCAGAGACCUGCAGAGUCGGUCAGGACUGCAAAGAGAUUCUCCCUUGUUUUCCCUCGGAGGCAACUGAUUUCAACUUAUUUGUAGAGGCAUGUGACACAUCUGCUUGUAUGUAGCCUGAGAGGGGAGAUCCAGAGAAGGAAGAAUGGUGUAGUGGAAAUUGAUGGAUUUAAAAUCAGAGGACUUGGGUUUAAACCCCAGCUUUAACACUUACUGAGGAUCAGUUCUUUAUAUGAAAAUUGAAGUGGUUGGACUAGAUGACCUCCAGGUUCCCUUCCAGCUCUCAUCCUCUAAUUCUAUGGUACUGUGGUAGUAGUUGAAGGGCAUAGAGUCCAGCAGGAACACUUGGCAAAAGCAGGCAUGUGUGUACCCACACAUAGCCUGAGAAGGAUUAUAGGAUCAUAGAUUUAGAACUGAGAGGUACUUCAAAGGUCAUUUAGUCCUAUCUCCUUAAUUUUGCAGAUGAAGAAAUACUCUUUUGGGGAAUACACACACAUAUAUGGGUACAUAUAUUUAGAUAGAAAUGAUGAGGAUACAAACAGUGCUUUAAGAGUUAAGAAUUGCUUUUCCCUAGUUUAUUCUCUAACCUGAAGGUGUCCUAAAGUCUCUCCCCCUUAUCUUGAAAUACCAUAAAACUUCCCCCUUAUCCUGAACCAUAAAAUUCCUUGUCUCCCCCCAUUCUGGAUCAUAAAAUUCCCCUGUCUCCCUUAUCUUGUGUCAUCCAUCUUCUUCCUCCUGUCCCUAAUCUUUUAACCCCCAUAAAAACCUCUAAAACUACAUUAUCAUUCUGAAACCUCUACAUAAGCAUAACUCCCCCAAAUAUCAGAGUCUCAUUUAGCUUUCUUGCUAAGGAGGCCUGUGAUGCUUUUUACAUAAAAUAA